This 339-nucleotide ribosomal RNA is filed under the name Klebsiella quasipneumoniae subsp. similipneumoniae. Its description in RNAcentral is "partial 23S ribosomal RNA". It matches the Rfam family "Bacterial large subunit ribosomal RNA", at positions 1574 to 1895 of the family's 2925-position model. The record is from RNAcentral. Lineage: Bacteria; Pseudomonadati; Pseudomonadota; Gammaproteobacteria; Enterobacterales; Enterobacteriaceae.
GCACUACGGUGCUGAAGUAACAAAUGCCCUGCUUCCAGGAAAAGCCUCUAAGCAUCAGGUAACAUCAAAUCGUACCCCAAACCGACACAGGUGGUCAGGUAGAGAAUACCAAGGCGCUUGAGAGAACUCGGGUGAAGGAACUAGGCAAAAUGGUGCCGUAACUUCGGGAGAAGGCACGCUGGUGUGUAGGUGAAGUCCCUGCGGAUGGAGCUGAGACCAGUCGAAGAUACCAGCUGGCUGCAACUGUUUAUUAAAAACACAGCACUGUGCAAACACGAAAGUGGACGUAUACGGUGUGACGCCUGCCCGGUGCCGGAAGGUUAAUUGAUGGGGUUAUCC